Molecule: ribosomal RNA, 258 nt
Filed under: uncultured bacterium
Lineage: Bacteria
Description: partial 16S ribosomal RNA
Rfam family: Bacterial small subunit ribosomal RNA
Source: RNAcentral
UGGCGGACGGGUGAGUAACGCGUGGGUAACCUGCCCUGUACAGGGGGACAACAGUUAGAAAUGACUGCUAAUACCGCAUAAGCGCACAGGACCGCAUGGUCCGGUGUGAAAAACUCCGGUGGUACAGGAUGGACCUGCGUCUGAUUAGGUAGUUGGCGGGGUAACGGCCCACCAAGCCGACGAUCAGUAGCCGACCUGAGAGGGUGACCGGCCACAUUGGGACUGAGACACGGCCCAAACUCCUACGGGAGGCAGCAG